Molecule: long non-coding RNA, 2715 nt
Filed under: Hordeum vulgare
Lineage: Eukaryota; Viridiplantae; Streptophyta; Magnoliopsida; Poales; Poaceae
Description: long non-coding RNA (HVUL_LNC009130)
Source: RNAcentral
GUGCUUCCCUCUUGUUCCUCUAGAUUUGUUCUCCUCUAGAUCUGUUCGGUAUAGCUUAAGGAAGCUCUGCCACAUCAGCUCCACAAGCACCGCCACCACACAGUCGUGUUGGAGAACUCAUCUACCUCUCCGACCCUCUUGCUGGAUCAAGAAGGUCGGGAUCUUCAUCGAGUUGUACGUGUGAUGAAGGCGGAGGUGCCGUCCAUUCGGCACUAGAUCGGGAUGGGAUCGUGGGACGGAUCGUGAUGGGAUCAUGGGACGGAUCGUGAUGAGAUCCCGGGACGAGCUGCGAUUUCGAUCGCGAAGAUGGUCCACUACAUCAAACGCGUUAUAUACGCUUCCGCUUAGCUAUCUACAAGGGUAUGUAGAUUCACUCUCCCCUCUCGUGUGCGUAGGAAUUUUUUUGUGUCCCAUGCAACGUUCCCAGAAAGUGGUAUCAGAGCUAGGUCUAUGUGUAGAUGAUAUCUCGAGUAGAACACAAAAGAGUUUGUGGGCGUUGAUGUUAAAUUUGCUUCCCUCAGUCUUUUCUUGAUUCGGUGGUAUUGUUGGAUUAAAGCGACCCGAACCAACAUUACUCAUACGCUUACGAGAGACCGGUUUCAUCGUCUAACAUGCAACUUGUUGCAUAAAGAUGACUGGCGGGUGUAUGUUUCUCCAUCUUUAGUUGAGUCGGAUUUGACCGAGGCGGUUCUUGGAGAAGGUUAAAUAGCAACUUGCAUAUCACCGUUGUGGCUUUGCGUAAGUAAGAUGCGAUCAUACUAGAUAGCCAUAGCAGCCACGUAAAACUUGCAAACAACAAGUUAGAGGACGUCUAACUUGUUUUUCCAGGGAACUAGUAAGCUGCACGUGCAACGCACGUUUCAACUAAUAUUACCGUUGCUGUGAGAAUUAACAUGUUCAGAAAGAUACUUCAAUGGUACUAUUAUUUUAGAAAUAAACUGUAAUUUAAAUGAGCUUUAAGAUAUGCUACAGUUUAACCCGCACACUAUUGUGAAGACACAACUAAUUAUCCUAGUAUUUCUUAUGUGUUUACGCAAUUCUUAACGUGGCAAAAGCUUACAAGGUGCAAUGCAUGUCUAGAUUGUUAUAAAUUAUAUUUGUAGGUGCAGGAAUUUUUUUAGAAACAUAACGAAAAUUUAGGAAACCUCAAGACACCAUAUAAAAACUACAAGAUUGAAAUCUUUACAAUGUCGUAAUGGGUCAUUAAUUAGAUGUAGCUUUUCAUAAUUCAUGUAACACAUAUAAAUCACAAAUGUCGACAGGAAAAAAAUUUCUCUAAGUCCGCAUUUUUUCUCAGGUAGAGAAAACAUAGUUGUUAUGAGACAAUUACUCUCCUAUUCUACACGAUGAGAAAACCAUGAGCUGAUGAGUAACCAAAAAUAAUAGUGGGAAAAUAUGUACUCACGCUACUCAAAUAUUUUUUAUCACGCAUACAGUUGAAUUAGUACUCAAGGUAAAUAUCACUCUGAGGUGCCAAAUUCGCUAUACAGAAAAAUGUUGCAAUGGCCAAUGGGAAGUAUUUGUUAAGUUUCUUCAAGACACGGCAAAAAAUAAAAGCUUAAUUCCAAGAGUGGUAGCAGGAUCAUCUAGGGCAGGUGAUGUAGGUUCAUUGCACAUUUGUUAUGAUAAUUUUCAAGUUCGGUGACUGAAUAUCUUCAUCCUGGAGUCUUUUGAAGGCUGUACACUAUUGCACACUAUAGCAUGAUACUACUUCAGCCAUUUUUUGCUUUUGCUUUAAACCAAGCCCCUAACUUCUUCAUAUCUGUGUUCAAGGAUGUACCAAAGCACCCCAUUUUCAUAUUAGCUUUGGUAACAAUAUAAAUGAACUGAGCAUACCAACAAUUAAACAAGAAUUUAGUAAUAUUGCAUCAUUUAAAUAGUGUUUGCACCACUUUUAAUUAAUAAUUAUAUAAAAAGAAUAGUACAUGGGACAAGAAAAAAGAAUGAGAAUCAAUCAGCACUGGUAUGCGGUAUGCAAAUGGAAUGAUCUCUCACCACUCGACUAUGCAACACAUGAACACUCGAACUGGGCACUCUUGCUCGGUAAUUUGGAUGGUGGCGACCUUCCUUCGCUUCAACGGCGUUCACCCUCUGUGUCGUUAUCUUGGUGGCCUUCCCAUUGUGCAAAAAGCACCGGCUCUUGUGCUUGAUACCAAAAUAUGUUGCUCUUGCCUCCAGCCAUGAAGGCGAUGACCGGCUCGCAAGCCAAAGAAUGGUCGUUCCGCAAUGAAAUAAAGCAGUGAUACUUCAAGUUGCCGGUAAUGUGUAUUACCGAAGGCAAAUCCCAAUAACAUUGAAGUGAAAAUAAGACAGGUGGUUGAUACUUGAUACUUAUUACCAAGAUUAUUUAUAAUCCACAUGUUGUACAAAAGAUUGGAAUGGUGAAAUACAGACAAAUUAUUUCUGUCAUCCUGAAUGUCAACGAAAAUAAGGUCAUUGUCAACACAGCCCAAAUAAUCCAAUGUACAAAUGUGAAACCAUACUCCAAAGGAGGUGGAACAAAAAAAGUAGUUUCAGCUUUUAGACCAAAGUUUCUUAGUUUCACUCCAUUCAGAAUUAGGAAUGUCUAUCAAAUGUUAAGUACUCAAUGUAAUGCUACAAACUAUCUCUAUCAAAUGUUUCUUAGUUGCACGUUAGUAAGAAUGAUUCCUCUAUCUUGCUUUGCUUGCGUCACAGCAGUCUAGAGACUCUUCCUUGAAGCUGGAUCUAGUCCAG